This 400-nucleotide ribosomal RNA is filed under the name uncultured bacterium. RNAcentral's name for it is "bacterial SSU rRNA". It matches the Rfam family "Bacterial small subunit ribosomal RNA", at positions 356 to 773 of the family's 1533-position model. The record is from RNAcentral.
GGGGAAUAUUGCACAAUGGGCGAAAGCCUGAUGCAGCAACGCCGCGUGAGGGAAGAAGGUCUUCGGAUUGUAAACCUUUGUCCUUGGUGACGAUAAUGACGGUAGCCAAGGAGGAAGCUCCGGCUAACUACGUGCCAGCAGCCGCGGUAAUACGUAGGGAGCGAGCGUUGUCCGGAUUUACUGGGUGUAAAGGGUGCGUAGGCGGCUCUGCAAGUCAGGCGUGAAAACUAUGGGCUUAACCCAUAGACUGCGUUUGAAACUGUGGGGCUUGAGUGAAGUAGAGGUAGGCGGAAUUCCCGGUGUAGCGGUGAAAUGCGUAGAGAUCGGGAGGAACACCAGUGGCGAAGGCGGCCUACUGGGCUUUAACUGACGCUGAAGCACGAAAGCAUGGGUAGCAAAC